Long non-coding RNA from Oncorhynchus keta (chum salmon), 252 nucleotides. RefSeq lists it as uncharacterized. The transcript is spliced from 3 exons. The record is from RefSeq and is a predicted model, not a curated record. NCBI's taxonomy places the organism in Eukaryota, Metazoa, Chordata, Actinopteri, Salmoniformes, Salmonidae.
AAGAGUGGAGGUAAGACCUACAGGGAGAAGAGUGGAGGUAAGACCUACAGGGAGGAGAGUGGAGGUAAGACCUACAGGGAGGAGAGUGGAGGUAAGACCUACAGGGAGAAGAGUGGAGGUAAGACCUACAGGGAGAAGAGUGGAGGUAAGACCUACAGGGAGGAGAGUGGAGGUAAGACCUACAGGGAGGAGAGUGGAGGUAAGACCUACAGGGAGAAGAGUGGAGGUAAGACCUACAGGGAGAAGAGUGGA